Molecule: unclassified non-coding RNA, 494 nt
Filed under: Hevea brasiliensis (rubber tree)
Lineage: Eukaryota; Viridiplantae; Streptophyta; Magnoliopsida; Malpighiales; Euphorbiaceae
Source: RNAcentral
GGAAUACUGAUGCUUCGCUUCGGUAUAACUAGUUGAAGUAGAAGACCUUAACUGAUAGCAUAGUCAUAUUAUCAACUCUGUUAACUUGCAUUAAACCCAUUAUUAGCUUGUGAUUAAGAAUGCUGUGGCCUUGUUGCUUGCUAAUUCUUACUCUUAAUUUAGCAUUAGCUGUCCUUUCUGCUGAUAAUUAUAGCAGGGAGGACUUCCCUCCUGUCUUUGUUUUUGGCGCUGCUACCUCUGCUUAUCAGGUGGAAGGAGCCGCACAUGAGGAUGGGAGGAGUCCCAGCGUUUGGGAUACCUUUUCUCAUGGAGGUGGAGAUGUGGCGGUUGAUGAGUAUCACAGAUACAAGGAAGAUGUCCAACUUAUGGCUGAAACUGGGUUACAGGCCUAUAGAUUUUCCAUCUCAUGGCCAAGGCUUAUCCCAAAUGGAAGAGGACCUGUCAAUCCAAAGGGUUUACAGUAUUACAAUAACCUCAUCAAUGAACUUAUUAGC